GAUGAAGAACGCAGCGAAAUGCGAUAAGUAAUGUGAAUUGCAGAAUUCAGUGAAUCAUCGAAUCUUUGAACGCACAUUGCGCCCGCCAGUAUUCUGGCGGGCAUGCCUGUUCGAGCGUCAUUACAACCCUCAGGCCCCCGGGCCUGGCGUUGGGGAUCGGCGGAGCCCCCCGUGGGCACACGCCGUCCCCCAAAUACAGUGGCGGUCCCGCCGCAGCUUCCAUCGCGUAGUAGCUAACACCUCGCGACUGGAGAGCGGCGCGGCCACGCCGUAAAACACCAAACUCUUCUGAAGUUGACCUCGAAUCAGGUAGGAAUACCCGCUGAACUUAAGCAUAUCAAUAAGCGGAGGA
RNAcentral lists this unclassified non-coding RNA (352 nucleotides) under soil metagenome. RNAcentral describes it as "partial contains 5.8S ribosomal RNA, internal transcribed spacer 2, and large subunit ribosomal RNA". The stretch from base 1 to 120 matches the Rfam family "5.8S ribosomal RNA", at positions 35 to 154 of the family's 154-position model. The record is from RNAcentral.